UUCCGGUUGAUCCCGCCGGACCUGACUGCUAUCGGAUUGAUACUAAGCCAUGCGAGUCUUUGCAGUAAUGCAAGGCAUACGGCUCAGUAACACGUAGUCAACUUACCCUAUGGACGAGGAUAAUCUCGGGAAACUGAGCAUAAUACUCGAUAGAUCAUAAUGCCUGGAAUGGUUUAUGGUUAAAAUGAUUCGUCGCCAUAGGAUGGGACUGCGGCCUAUCAGCUUGUUGGUGAGGUAAUGGCCCACCAAGGCGAUUACAGGUACGGGCUCUGAGAGGAGAAGCCCGGAGAUGGGUACUGAGACAAGGACCCAGGCCCUAUGGGGCGCAGCAGGCGAGAAAACUUUGCAAUGUGCGAAAGCACGACAAGGUUAGUCCGAGUGAUUUCUGCUAAAGAGAUCUUUUGCUAGUUAUAAAACCACUAGUGAAUAAGGGGUGGGCAAGUUCUGGUGUCAGCCGCCGCGGUAAAACCAGCACCUCAAGUGGUCAGGAUGAUUAUUGGGCCUAAAGCAUCCGUAGCCGGCUCUGUAAGUUUUCGGUUAAAUCUAUGCGCUCAACGUAUGGGCUGCCGAAAAUACUGCAGAGAUAGGGAGUGGGAGAGGUAGACGGUACUCGGUAGGAAGGGGUAAAAUCCUUUGAUCUAUCGAUGACCACCUGUGGCGAAGGCGGUCUACCAGAACACGUUCGACGGUGAGGGAUGAAAGCUGGGGGAGCAAACCGGAUUAGAUACCCGGGUAGUCCCAGCUGUAAACGAUGCAGACUCGAUGAUGCAUUGGCAUAUAGCCAGUGCAGUGUCGCAGGGAAGCCGUUAAGUCUGCCGCCUGGGAAGUACGUACGCAAGUAUGAAACUUAAAGGAAUUGGCGGGGGAGCACCACAAGGGGUGAAGCCUGCGGUUCAAUUGGAGUCAACGCCGGG
This 914-nucleotide ribosomal RNA is filed under the name uncultured marine archaeon. Its description in RNAcentral is "bacterial SSU rRNA". It matches the Rfam family "Archaeal small subunit ribosomal RNA", at positions 1 to 922 of the family's 1478-position model. The record is from RNAcentral.